This 253-nucleotide ribosomal RNA is filed under the name uncultured bacterium. RNAcentral's name for it is "partial 16S ribosomal RNA". It matches the Rfam family "Bacterial small subunit ribosomal RNA", at positions 524 to 776 of the family's 1533-position model. The record is from RNAcentral.
UACGAAGGGGGCUAGCGUUGCUCGGAAUCACUGGGCGUAAAGCGCACGUAGGCGGAUCAUUAAGUCGGGGGUGAAAUCCUGGAGCUCAACUCCAGAACUGCCUUCGAUACUGAAGAUCUCGAGUCCGGGAGAGGUGAGUGGAACUCCGAGUGUAGAGGUGAAAUUCGUAGAUAUUCGGAAGAACACCAGUGGCGAAGGCGGCUCACUGGCCCGGUACUAACGCUGAGGCACGAAGGCCAGGGGAGCAAACGGG